UGGGAUAUCGCCAAGUGGUAAGGCAGCGGGUUUUGAUCCCGCCAUUCGGAGGUUCGAGUCCUUCUAUCCCAG
RNAcentral lists this transfer RNA (72 nucleotides) under Prototheca cutis. RNAcentral's name for it is "tRNA-Gln". It matches the Rfam family "tRNA". Rfam says of the family: Transfer RNA (tRNA) molecules are approximately 80 nucleotides in length. Their secondary structure includes four short double-helical elements and three loops (D, anti-codon, and T loops). The record is from RNAcentral. Lineage: Eukaryota; Viridiplantae; Chlorophyta; Trebouxiophyceae; Chlorellales; Chlorellaceae.